Molecule: long non-coding RNA, 7515 nt
Filed under: Cicer arietinum (chickpea)
Lineage: Eukaryota; Viridiplantae; Streptophyta; Magnoliopsida; Fabales; Fabaceae
Description: long non-coding RNA (CARI_LNC001726)
Source: RNAcentral
GAAAAGUGAACUAUAGUAUUAUACUGAUAUAUGUGCAAACCCAAGUAGUAAAUAGUUCCACUCCUAAAGGCAAAAUCUUAUGUAUCCCAAUUCAAGCCUAUAGACAAUUUAAGGCAUGCUUGAUUAGGCAGACACAAAACAGAGAACAUGUUGAAAAUGGAGUGAGAAUCCAAAGAUUUUAGUCCUAACCUGAAUGAGCAAUCAAAGCAUAUAAUUUCUCACUUGACUCGUAGAAAUGAAAGUAAGAAAGCUAAAAAAAAUAUGAUGACCACUUGACUCUUGCACAUGCGACCAGGUACCGUUACUGCAAAAAGAAAAAUCAUUGUAAAUUCAAGUUUUUAAUGAAGUUAUACAAAAGUAAAUUCAAUUAAAAAAGUAAUAACAUAAUUUAUUUAUAAUUGUAAAUUCAAGUUUUUAAUGAAGUUAUACAAAAGUAAAUUCAAUUAAAAAAGUAAUAACAUAAUUUAUAUUUACGGAUAAACUUAAUAAGUUACUUCUGUUGUGGUGAUUUUUUUCCUCUUCAAUAAGAAUCGUAGCAACUUAAUGAAGGGAAUCUUAAAAUACUUAUAACAAAAAGAGACAGUUGUGGAUGUCUUUACAAUGCCAAGCAAAUCAAGUAAUCAUAUAUCAAAUCCCUAAAUAAAUCAAUCAGCUUGAUCCUCAAUGACUAUUUCAAAUUUCUGUGCCAUCAAAGUUUUAAACCAUAAAGACGUCAAAUCAGAAAUCCUGUUAUAAAUAACAGAUAUAUGUAAUUGUAAAUCAUAAUACCAUUGAAAAUUUGAAGGACUUGAAUACCAACAGAACUAAGGAAUUAAGCAAAAUAAGUAUAACAUAACAUAAUCAAAUCCAUUGAAUAAACAUAUUUAUAUAACUAGAAGAAAAAAAAAACAUCGGUAUGCGGCAAUUCGCCACACAACAUGAACAAUGAUUAAUGAUUCUCAUUUCUAAGUUCUAAAACUAGUUCUUAGGUAGCCAAGCAAUGUUCAUAUUCCAAGUACUUACUAUUCACUCUUUGCUCUUCACAAUACUAACCUAACUAUGUUGACAACUAUAAUUAUAUACAUCCUUUUUAAAAGAAUUGGCUGAUGACUAAUUCAACAGCUAUAAUGAGAGGGAGAGCUACUUUGGAAGGCAAAAACAUUCAGUCUUUUGCUUAAUUAUUCAGUAUACAUAUUUAUUUUCUAUGUGUAUGCUCUAUUCAACAUGCUUAUUCAACAAGCUCUUUAGUACUUGUUUCAGCCAUUAUUUUGUAUAUAAAAUGUAAGCAACAUCCCUAUCAUCUUCCACAUAAUUAAUUAGAACAAAAUAUAAAAUGACAAAAGUUAUUUACCUCUACAGACGCUUUCCCCAUUCUUUCAACAAAUAUUGAAUAAAAGUCACAAACCAAAGGUAGGUAGCAGUUCACAAUUUCAUGCUCAGAAAUUACAAUUCAAGAGGGAGACUAUGUAGUUUGGUGACAGUUUGGUUUGAUGAAGCCGAAAUGCUUAUAUUAUUCUGCGGAUAACUCUUAAUAUUUCGGAAGUCAACUUGAUAAUAGGCUAAUAGAGUAUAAUAAAGACUUUACUAAAACUAACAGUAUAUAUCUAUGUAACAACUCAUUCAUAUAAAGAAUGUUAUAUAAAAAGUUAGAAUUGAUUAUAAACAAUACUGACCAGCAAUUCCUUGGAUGAGUUUGUCUCAGUAGUCUUUCAUCCUUCAACUCCAGUUCACAACAAUACACUGAUCAUCAUCAACUCCAAUUUUGUUCUCAACAUAAUCAAGAAUAGCAAUAGGAAAACAUUUUCAGCACACCAAAAGCAAUAGAAAGAAAAUAAAAUAACAUAAGAAAAGGGAAACAUGUAAAAGGAAGUGAAAGGAAGAUUAACCAAUCAACACAAUUCAAUUCCAAGACAGUAUUCACGGUAACCAUUAAUACUGGAACUUUUGAUCUGGUAUAAAAUACACCAUGAACCUAUACCAAAGAGACAAUUGAGCACACAAGGGUAAAAUAAAAUAAAAUACAAAAGCUAGCAAAAAAGCAUUGAGAAAAAACUGAAUAUGCAUCUGAAAUUUAAGUGACAUAAUUUGCAACUGUAGAUUGAUUGUCACAGAAAAGCACAGUUCCAAUUGCAAAACACCUAUAUAAUAAAAAUUAUUAACAAUAACAAAUAUCAGGACUUCACAACUUGCACAUAUCCCUUCUUCCACACGCUACGUGGCCUGUGCAAAUUUCAAUUUUUAAUUGUUAGGGUCACACAAUCCAUUGUGCUGCCUUCCUCAAUUGGCACACUAUCUUGUCCUCUGAUUCUUAGAUAGUUCAAUUAUUUCAUCAACAGGAAAAAAAGUGUCAUAGUAUCCUAAUAGAAAGUUCAUGAUCAACCCCUUCAAAGUUCAAACAAUUAUUCAAUAUGAUAACCAAGUAAAGUAUUGUGAUUCCGCAACAUAUUACUAAAAUAAUGUGGUCUGAAAAUGAGCUCAAAAGAGUACGAAAAAUUGGAGCUUAGACAAUUAAAAGCUAAGCAUUUUAACUUAUAGCACAAGCCUACUACUAACAGAGUGACUUCAUGGCCUCAUCAACAUUCUUCUUUAAAAAAUAUGAAUGAAUGUAUAACUGCCUCAUAUGUGACAACAGAUGGCUUAAGACCCUCUUUUAUCAUCUUUUUCAUCACCUUACUAGUAGUUGCAAAAUCUCCAGCUUUGCCAAGGUAAGAAACCAAUUUCUUCUUCUUACAGAACCCACUUAUGAGAACAUAGUAGCAAGUUAUAUGCAUGGCUUUUAUCAAUAUUGUUCACACCACAGAAUGCAGAUAUCAACACAGUAUAAGUAACAACAUUUCCUUUCAGCUUUGCAGAACUCAUCAAUCAAGCAAUUAUAUGACACAGUGUUUGGCCUAUUUUUCUUCUCCGUUUUCAUCUCUGCCAGCAAACUCAAACCAUCUUCUACCCUCCCAACUUUACUAAGAUUGUCAAUCAAAGUAUUAUACAAAACCACAUCAGGUUCAACACCAAUUUAUCAAACACCCCCAACGCCUCAUCGAUCCUCCUAGCCUUGCAUAUGUGAUUAGUAAAAAUCUCAAAGGUUAUACCACUGGGCUCGUAUUUUUGUUUCUUCCAUCUCUGCCAACAGUUUAAUGAUAUUUUGAAUGUCUCUUUGCCUUCCGAUCCCUGUGUCAACAAGGCAUUGCAAGAUGCCGCUUCAACAAGACCACCCAAUUUCAUCACACCACCCAAGGUCAUUGAGGGACAAUAUUUUCAUUCUAAUUUAUCAAGAAUUUAGGAUUAUAUACACUCAAAUAUCAAAUUUGUAUCUAUGGUCGUCGAGGCACAAUACUGUCAUUCAAUCCCAAUUUCAUAUGAAUAGCAAUUCAUAUUGAAUGUCACUUUUAGGGUCAAGAAUUUAUCUCAUUAUUAAAUUUUGGGACAUCCAAAAAUGCUCUCAAUUUCAUAUGAAUAAAAAAUUCAUAUCAAAUGCCACAUUUACGAUCAAUAAUCUAUCAUAAUUAAAUUUCAGAUCAUCCAAAAAUACCAUCUCAAUUUCAUAUGAAUAAAAAAUUCAUAUCAAAUGCCACAUUUACGAUCAAUAAUCUAUCAUAAUUAAAUUUCAGAUCAUCCAAAAAUACCAUCUCAAUUUCAUAUGAAUAAAAAAUUCAUAUCAAAUGCCACAUUUACGAUCAAUAAUCUAUCAUAAUUAAAUUUCAGAUCAUCCAAAAAUACCAUCUCAAUUUCAUAUGAAUAAAAAAUUCAUAUCAAAUGCCACAUUUACGAUCAAUAAUCUAUCAUAAUUAAAUUUCAGAUCAUCCAAAAAUACCAUCUCAAUUUCAUAUGAAUAAAAAAUUUCAUAUUUCAAGCCAUAUUUCGGGUCAUGAUUUCAUCUCAUAAUUAAUUUUCGGGUCUUCCAAACAUAUUAUCUCAAUUUCAUUUCAUAUGAAUAAAAAAUUCAUAUUGAAAGCUACAUUUUGGAUCAAGAAUUCAUUUAUUAAUUAAAUUUCGGGUCUUCCAAACAUACUAUCUCAAUUUCAUUUCAUAUGAAUAAAAAUUCAUAUUGCAAGCCAUAUUUUGAGUCAAGAAUUCAUCUCGUAAUUAAAUUUCGGGUCAUCGAAUCACAAUCUAUCUCAAAUUUUCAAUUUGAUUUCUUAUGAAUAAAAAAUUAAUAUCAAAUGCCACAUUUACGGUCAAGAUUCGAUCUCAUAAUUAAAUUUCGGAUCAUCCAAAAAUACCAUCUCAAUUUCAUAUGAAUACAUUUUUUCAUAUUUCAAGCCACAUUUCGCAUCAUGAUUUCAUCUCACAAUUAAAUUUCGGGUCUUCCAAACAUAUCAUCUCAAUUUCAUUUCAAAUGAAUACAAAAUUCAUAUUGAAAGCUACAUUUUGAGUUAAGAAUUCAUUUCGUAAUUAAAUUUCGGAUCUUCGAAACAUAUUAUCUCAAUUUCAUUUCAUAUAAUAAAAAAUUCAUAUUGCAAACCACAUUUUGAGUCAAGAAUUCAUCUCAUAAUUAAAUUUUGGAUCAUCCAAUCAUACUAUCUCAAAUUCUCAAUUUCAUUUCAUAUAAAUAAAAAAAUUCAUAUCGAAUGCCACAUCAUUUACGGUCAAGAAUCUAUCUCAUAAUUAAAUUUCGGGUCGUCCAAAAAUACCAUCUCAAUUUCAUAUAAAUAAAAAGUGUAUAUUGCAAGUCACAUAUUUGGUCAAGAAUUCAUUUCGUAAUUAAAUUUCGGGUCUUCCAAACAUAUUAUCUCAAUUUCAUUUCAUAUGAAUAAAAAAUUCAUAUUGCAAGCCAUAUUUUGAGUCAAGAAUUCAUCUCGUAAUUAAAUUUUGGGUCACCGAAUCACAAUCUAUCUCAAAUUUUCAAUUUCAUUUCUUAUGAAUAAAAAAUGCAUAUCAAAUGCCACAUUUACGGUCAAUAAUCUAUCUAAUAAUUAGAUUUCGGAUCAUCCAAAAAUAGCAUCUCAAUUUCAUAUGAAUAAAUUUUUUCUUAUUUCAAGCCACCUUUCGGGUCAUGAUUUCAUCUCAUAAUUAAAUUUCGGGUCUUCCAAACAUAUUAUCUCAAUUUCAUUUCAUAUGAAUGAAAAAUUCAUAUUGAAAGCUACAUUUUUGGUCAAGAAUUCAUCUCGUAAUUAAAUUUCAGAUCUUCCAAACAUAUUAUCUCAAUUUCAUUUCAUAUAAUAAAAUAUUCAUAUUGCAAGCCACAUUUUGAGUCAAGAAUUCAUCUCGUAAUUAAAUUUUGGGUCAUCCAAUCAUACUAUCUCAAAUUCUCAAUUUCAUUUCAUAUGAAUAAAAAAAUUCAUAUCGAAUGCCACAUCAUUUACGGUAAAAAAUCUAUCUCAUAAUUAAAUUUCGGGUCAUCCAAAAAUGCCAUCUCAAUUUCAUAUGAAUAAAAAAUUCAUAUUGCAAGCCAUAUUUUGAGUCAAGAAUUCAUCUCGUAAUUAAAUUUUGGGUCAUCCAAUCAUACUAUCUCAAAUUCUCAAUUUCAUUUCUUAUGAAUAAAAAAUUCAUAUCAAAUGCCACAUUUACGGUCAAUAAUCUAUCUCAUAAUUAAAUUUCGGGUCAUCCAAAAAUACCAUCUCAAUUUCAUAUAAAUAAAUAAUGUAUAUUGCAAGUCACAUCUUGUGUCAAUAAUUCAUCUCGUAAUUAAAUUUCGGGUCUUCCAAACAUACUAUCUCAAUUUCAUUUCAUAUAAAUAAAAAAUUCAUAUUGCAAGCCAUAUUUUGAGUGAAGAAUUCCUCAUAAUUAAAUUUCGGGUCAUCGAAUCACAAUCUAUCUCAAAUUUUCAAUUUCAUUUCUUAUGAAUAAAAAAUUCAUAUCAAAGGCCCCAUUUACGGUCAAUAAUCUAUCUUAUAAUUAAAUUUCGGACCAUCAAAAAAUACCACCUCAAUUUCAUAUGAAUAAAAAAUUCAUAUUUCAAGUCACAUUUCGGGUCAUGAUUUCACCUCAUAAUUAAAUUUCGGGUCUUUCUCAAACAUAUUAUCUCAUUUUCAUUUCAUAUGAAUAAAAAAAUUCAUAUUGCAAGCCAUAUUUUGAGUCAAGAAUUCCUCAUAAUUAAAUUUCGGGUCAUCCAAUCACAAUCUAUCUCAAAUUUUCAAUUUCAUUUCUUAUGAAUAAAAAAUUCAUAUCAAAGGCCACAUUUACGGUCAAUAAUCUUUCUCAUAAUUAAAUUUGGAACCAUCCACCUCAAUUUCAUAUGAAUAAAAAAAUCAUAUUUCAAGUCACAUCUCGGGUCAUGAUUUCAUCUCAUAAUUAAAUUUCGGGUCUUUCUCAAACAUAUUAUCUCAAUUUCAUUUCAUAUGAAUAAAAAAAUUCAUAUUGCAAGCCUCAUUUUGGGUCAAAAAUUCAUCUUAAUUAAAUUUCGGGUCAUCGAAUCACAAUCUAUCUCAAAUUUUCAAUUUCAUUUCUUAUGAAUAAAAAAUUCAUAUUUCAAGUCACAUUUCGGGUCAUGAUUUCAUCUAAUAAAUAAAUUUCGGGUCUUUCUCAAACAUAUUAUCUCAAUUUCAUUUCAUAUGAAUAAAAAAAUUCAUAUUGUAAGCCUCAUUUUGGGUCAAAAAUUCAUCUUGUAAUUCUGUUAUUCUCAAAUUUAUUUCAUAUGAAUAAAAAAUUCAUAUUAAAAGCCACAUUAUGAAUCAAGAAUCUAUCUCACUUUUGGGUCAUCCAAACAUAGCAAUAGACUUGUCUAAGGGUACAUAUUGCAACUUUUGAAUUUUUAUCAACCUUUUCGGUCAAGAAUCAUCAAGAUUAUACAUUCUUGGAUAUAAUACGUUAAUGUUGCAAACCAAAACCUACCCCAAAACAUUUGUGUCAAACACAGUUUUGGAGACAGAGAAUGUUUGCUCAAUAGAAGAAGAGAAUCAAUAGAUCAGAAACCAAAGGAUAAUGGGUUGAAAAUGAAAUAAAGAGAGAUUUACAUAUCUUUUAUAUCUGGUUUUCGAAUGAAGCAAAUCAUGGAUAACAGAAACAUGAAUCCAAAUAACAAAGUCUUGAUUUCGUUGUCAUCAUUUUACGGCACCAAUUCAAAUAAGAAUUCUAGGGUUCGAAUGACCAAGAUUCAUAGAGAUCGGGCGUUCUUGGUUGAAUUUCAAGAACAUGAACGGGAACGGAAAGCUUUAUAUUUUAUUUCGUAUCACCAUCUCUCUCUUUCUUGUGACUAUGGGAUCAUCUUUUUCAUGGCAGCAAUUCAAAUAAAGAUUUCUAGGGUUUGAAUAAUCAAAGAAAUUGAGCGUCAUUGAUUGAAUUUCAAGAACGGGAUGUUACCGUUACCGUCAACGUCGCAACGAAUAAUAAACAAAUAAAUUGUCUCAAAAACAUCAACGGCAAACACCGCUAGAAUCGAUUAAUGCAGAAGAUUGAAAAUUGAGAAGGAGAAAAAGAGAUAUCAAAUUCAAGCGAUUAGGGUUAAGAGGACACACCUCUUUAUCAGUCUUUCUAUUAUUUCCCACUGAUGAAGCAACCGCAGACUUGAAACCCAAGGAAUGAUAUGUUUAAUUGGUACUGCUCGAACCUAUUUAUAAGGUUAAAAGUUCGGUAUUUGUCAAACAAAAUAACGUUAAAUCG